Small nucleolar RNA from Arabidopsis thaliana (thale cress), 122 nucleotides. The record is from RefSeq. Lineage: Eukaryota; Viridiplantae; Streptophyta; Magnoliopsida; Brassicales; Brassicaceae.
GAGUCUUUUGGCUAUGAUUAGCUUUGAAUGCUAAUGGACUGACAUCGUCUAUUUUCUCUUAACCGAUUUGUGCAGAUAGUUAAUAAUAUAUCUAACUGCAGUCUGGUUUAGAUGAAAACAUA